Molecule: unclassified non-coding RNA, 195 nt
Filed under: uncultured fungus
Lineage: Eukaryota; Fungi
Description: sequence contains ITS1
Source: RNAcentral
UUAAUUUAUUAUAUAAUGCUCAGACGACAUAGUAUAAAUGAGUUUUAAGGUCUUAUGGCAGACACUAACUAGCAGUAGCCAGUAGUCAAAAGACGGGCCUGCCAAAGCAACAAAAGUAUUAUAAACAUAGGGUGGGAGAUAUACCCAAUGGGCAUUUUCUCUGUAAUGAUCCUUCCGCAGGUUCACCUACGGAAA